AUUAUUUUUUGCUUGAGAUGUUUAUAAUUUAUAGAGUUUUUUAAACUAUAUUUUCUUACCUUGGUUAUUUUCAUUGAGAACAGGAUCUUGCUAUAUUUCAGACUGGGCCAGGCUGGCCUCCAAUUUGAGGCAACACUGGUGCAGCCUUUCAAGAGUGCAAAUACAGGUGUAAACUGCUAUACUUAAUUUUUAUUUUUAAUUGCAUAGUGUGGCAACUUGAUUUUCAUAGCUGAAUAAUUAUAUUUAAUUUUGUGUUAUUUUGGGGUUUGGUUUUGUUGGGUUUUUUUCCUCUUUUGCUUUGUUUGUAUUUUAAGGAUAGGGUCUCCAAUUUAUCACCUUCCUCCCUCAGCACUACUUCUUGAGUGUUGGAGUUAUAGAUAUGCACCACCAUACCAGACUAAUAUUCAUUUUAUCAAACAUGAUUAUAAAGUAAAUCUUAAGUCUUCCCAUGAGGGAAUUUUCCUUUAUUUCUAAAGGACUUUUGUGUUAUCUUACUUUUCUACUACUAGUUCUUUUAAAUGAAGGUGUAAAUUAUAUCUAAUCGUGGUUGACUAGAGAGCAUUAUUACACAAACGGCAUUUGAAUUGUACUGAAUUAUUGACAUACCUAAAAGUAUGUGUGUUUAACAGUUCAACUAAUAGCAGUUCCUUAUGCUGUUCAGAUUUGAUGAUCGUGACAGAACUGGCUUUUGCAAAUAUGAACGUAGUGGGUAUAGUCGUUGGUGUGACAGAGCAGAUGAAGAUGAUUGGUCAAAACCUCUUCCUCCAAGUGAACGCUUAGAACAAGAACUUUUUUCUGGAGGAAAUACGGGGAUUAACUUUGAGAAAUACGACGAUAUACCAGUAGAGGCAACUGGCAAUAACUGCCCUCCACAUAUUGAAAAUUUUAGCGAUCUUGAGAUGGGAGAGAUUAUUAUGGGAAACAUUGAACUGACUCAUUAUACUCGUCCUACUCCAGUGCAAAAACAUGCAAUUCCUAUUAUCAAAGAAAAAAGAGAUUUAAUGGCUUGUGCUCAAACAGGUACAUAUACUUGGUAAAGAAUAAAAGCAUAUCUACUGGGGUUGCUCUAAAGUAUGUUCUGUGAGAAGGCCUGAAUCCUCUAUUUAUCAUGACUUUGAGGAAUGGCUAGGGCUAAAGGUGUAGGGAAAGUGGGAAGGGUAGGGGAAAGG
Molecule: long non-coding RNA, 1169 nt
Filed under: Fukomys damarensis (Damara mole-rat)
Lineage: Eukaryota; Metazoa; Chordata; Mammalia; Rodentia; Bathyergidae
Description: lncRNA (ENSFDAG00000022493.1)
Source: RNAcentral